Molecule: long non-coding RNA, 1430 nt
Organism: Lycium ferocissimum
Lineage: Eukaryota; Viridiplantae; Streptophyta; Magnoliopsida; Solanales; Solanaceae
Exons: 3
Source: RefSeq, a predicted model, not a curated record
AUUCGUGAUGAAAUCCCAUCAGGUUAAUGACAGACCUGGUAUAAACUUGGGAGGACCUACACAAAUGGAAUCAAAUCUUUGUUUGCCUCCUUGGCCAGAACUUCUGAUGCGGAAUGAGAAGAAUAUGAAGGUUGUAGAGCUGAUACUAAACAUAUGCAUUACCGACAUACACUUGCAUUUGCACAGAGAAGGAAAUACUGGAUCAUCGACAAUAGGUCUCGACAGAUGAUUUAAGAAUGGAUUACGUAAGUUUACAAUUGAUUUCCUUUUAAUUUGAUUUUGAACCAUUUUGUAUUGAAUAAUAUAAUGGUGUAAUUGACUUGCUUGCCAAAAUACUUUGAUGGUUUGCUGCUAAUAAUUAUACCGAUAAGAUUUAAAUUUUAAUGUUUAUGAUUGAAUUGAUGAACUGCGUCUUUGACUUUAGUUAUAAUAGAUAUAAUUACUAAAUUUGAUGAACUACGUACUUUGUAUAUAUAAGAGCGUUAUACCUCUUUGCUCUUGAAUCUUAAAGUGCACAUUUGAUGAGAUUGUGAGAAAACUAGCAUUUAACAAUUGUUUGACAAAAAGUUCCACCAUCAUUUGAAGAAAAAAGAAAUGUUUAGAUCGUCACAUAAUUUAUCAGAACGCCACUCACGAGUUGUUUUACAAUAGAAGAGUUGUUCCAAUACGUGUUCCCUUAUUUCUUCAUACUUCUCCUUUGUAGAUAUGUACAACCAUUUGAAACAUUUAGCACAUUGCACAGUGAAUGCACCUACAGUUGGCAAAACCCUAGAUUUAUAAUUUGGUAAGGAGUUUCUUCGAGCAUGGAGAGGUUUAACGUCAGUAGCAACAGCAACGACAUCAGGAUCAUAAAGCACCAACUCAAAAGGAGUUUCUUCAAGCACAGAUAGGUUUCCUUUUGAGUUGGUGCUUUAUGAUCCUGCUUCUGUUGCUACUACUGACGUUAAACCUCUCCGUGCUCGAAGAAACUCCUUCCCAAAUUAUACAUCUAGGGCUUUGCCAUCUGUACGAACAUUCGAUGUGCAGUGUGCUAAAUGUUUCAAAUGGCGGUACAUAUCUACAAGGGAGAAGUAUGAAGAAAUAAGGGAACACAUAUUGGAACAACCCUUCUAUUUGGAAACAACUCGUGAGUGGCGUUUUGAUAAAUCAUGUGACGAUCUUAAUAUUUCCUUUGUCUUCAAAUGAAGGUAGAAUUGUUUGUCAAACAAUUGUUAAAUGCUAGUUUUCUCACAAUCUCAUCAAAUGUGCACUUUAAGAUAAAAGAGCAAAGAAGAAUUACACUCUUAUAAAUACAAAGUAUGUAGUUCAGUAAAUUCAGUAAUUAUAUCCCUUAUAAAGUCAAGGACGUAGUUCAUCAAUUCAAUUAUAAAUAGGAAAAUUUCAAUCUUACCCAUAUAAUUAUUAGCAAAAAAACAAUCAAAAGACUGUUG